GUUUAUGGGGAGCAGCUGCCCUGAACUCCAGGGUUACCCAAAAAGGAUUUCAGAUGCAGUGGCCCUGGCUCAGGCUACCAGACCAUCUUGGGAAGCCCUGCCACCUCUGUGGCUUUCUGGCCUCCAUCCUGGCUUGGCCUCAGCCCUCCCAGCCCACACCACAGCAGCCAGGAGUCUUCUCACUGAUCCGCCGAGCUCAUGACUGAGAGGAAAUAUGUUUCCAGAUAAGAUGAAAAUAGAUCCUUCUCCAAAUAUGCUCAUCAUAGCUAAGAAAAAUAAAUAGAACCAAGAGGGAAAAGAGAACAGGGAGCAACCAUCAGAGGAGGCCUGGCCUGGGGAGCUGGGAGGGGUGAUCUGCCCAAGGAUCGGGGUGGAGCUUGUGCUGCAGAAUAGGCUGCCUCCUCCUUCGUGGAGUCCUGUCUAAGAUUGCAGUGGAUUUAAGGAACCUCAUCAACUGAUUGUCACUAAAGUACUACUGACUGAUAACUUGUGUCAUGUGGGAGAAGCCAGAACAUCACGGGGCCUGUCCAGGGGAGUCUGAGGCCACAGAGGAGAUGCAGUCACAGCUGGAAAUACUGCCUAAGGUAUCUCUCUUCUCACCUCCCUCCAUUUUCCCCUACAGGCCAAACUAGGCCACGUGGCAUGGGAAUGCAGCCUGAAGAGGCUGGGCUCCUCUGCCAUGGGCAAAGAUCAGAGCAGGGGAAGGAUGAAGAAGGAUUUGAGGCAAACAGGCCCAGGACGGGCACAUUCCCCUUCUGUGUACUGUGGCAGGGGAUUGGACCAAAUGGUCUUUGAGGACUCCGGUUCUCUGAUAGUCUACAGAUCUAGGACUCUUAGGGCAAGGACACAAUUUCCCUGGGUUCUGUCCCAAUUCUGAUCUCAUGUGGCCUUCUGAUAUCUCCUCUCUCUGGCCUUAGUGUGCCUGUCUGUUCAGUGGAGGAGUUGACCAGCCUGGUCCAACAUGGCCAUGGACGAAGACCCAGGAAAGAAGAAUGGACCAGUUUCUAGAAAAGUUUCUAGAAAGACUCCAAAAGAGGUACAGACCGUAAGAGACUGCUGGUCUCCCUCCACGGGAGCUGAGGCCACACCCUCCCAAAGCUUCUGCAGACUCUCAGCUCUCAACCCAAGUAGGUUAAAAUGCACCUACUUCCUGCAUUAUAACACUUUGGAAUCACUUUAUAUGAGUUAAGAUGUGCUACAGUUGACAGGUUGUCCUAAUAUUACAUUUUGCAGAUGUUUAAUUAAACAUGCAGGAAUUUCAAGCCUCCCGUGACUGAACUCAGCUCAGGCCUUGUUCUGUGUGAUCUCAAUCUAUUCUUCAAAAUCGUAUUAUUAUUAACCCCAUUUUACCAGGGAUAAAACAGGACGCAAGAUCUCCAACACCUAGUUGAAGGCCACACAGCCAGGGGCCUGGUGGGAUAGCACUGGCUGCUCUGCCUCUGCCCUGGUCAGCCUCUCUAGUGCCUCCCUGCCAACCCUCCAGUUCCUGGCUCUUCCCUGGGCUGCCUAGGCCAGGGGCUUGAGGCCUGUGAGGCUCAAGUCUCUCUAGGAGAGUGAAUAGUCUGACCUGAUGGACCAGAGCCGUCCUCCUGGCCCAGUUAGGAGCAUGGUGCCAGCACCCCAGCACCCCUCCCAGGGGUGAGCUGCAGGGCACAUAGUUUACCUGCCAGGAGCCCGGAGUAGGAAAGCAAACACCAUAAAUCAUCAGGAUGCCUGUGUAAAUAUUUUAUAGCUGGGACAGUAAAUAAUGCAGCUCCCUGGACACGCCCUGCCCAGUUCAUCUGUCUCACAUCCAGCACCCAGGACAGUCUGUCUGGUCCUCUCUCUUACCUUGUGUUUUUAAAACAAAUGCUGUGGCCCAGUGCUGAGCGCUUUCACACGCGCAUCUUCACUGACUAGCCUUUGCUCAGGCCUGGAACAACUUUCUCCCUCCUCCUUCAGGAGUCACCUCCUCCUGGAAGCUUUCUUUGAUUUACUGAGUGGAGUCAAGGGUUCCUCUGGCUCUCAGUCCCUAGGCUUCCCCAUCUGGGCUCUGCUCACUCUGCACGGUCAUUUCUUGGCUCCUGUUAUGAUUCCUGGUGACUAGUGUGCCCUCACUCUGACUGUCAGCUCCAAGAGAGCAAUCAUAUCCCUAGAGCUGAGGGCAGAGGUUGGUGUAUGCAGGUGCUCAACAAAUAAUGUUGAAGGAUGGAAUAAAUUACCUUGCUUAAUCC
Molecule: long non-coding RNA, 2213 nt
Organism: Callithrix jacchus (white-tufted-ear marmoset)
Lineage: Eukaryota; Metazoa; Chordata; Mammalia; Primates; Cebidae
Source: Ensembl